GAUGAAGAACGUAGCGAAAUGCGGUAAGUAAUGUGAAUUGCAGAAUUCAGUGAAUCAUCGAAUCUUUGAACGCACCUUGCACCCUUUGGCAUUCUGAAGGGUAUGCUCGUUUGAGUGUCAUUGUACUCUCACACUCCCGAUCUUUGCAUUGGGAGCAGUGGACUUGGGUUUGCUGCUUCACCGUCGCUUACCUCAAAUAGGUUAGUGCAACUCUUGGUUGGACAUAGUACGGCGUGAUAAGUGUUCUUCGCCGGUGCCUCGCAAAGAGGGUGGCCGAUCGGGAUGUUGUGCUCCAAACCGUCUUCGGACAAUCUCUGACGACUUGACCUCAAAUCGAGUAAGACUACCCGCUGAACUUAAGCAUAUCAAUAAGCGGAGGA
This 380-nucleotide unclassified non-coding RNA is filed under the name soil metagenome. RNAcentral's name for it is "partial contains 5.8S ribosomal RNA, internal transcribed spacer 2, and large subunit ribosomal RNA". The stretch from base 1 to 120 matches the Rfam family "5.8S ribosomal RNA", at positions 35 to 154 of the family's 154-position model. The record is from RNAcentral.